AAAUCAGGGGACGCAAGCCAGUAAGAAACAUGCCUCCAUGGCCUCUGCAUCAGCUCCUGCUUCCUGACCUGCUGGAGUUCCAGUCCUGACUUCCUUUGGUGAUGAACAGCAAUGUGGAAGUGAAGAAAGUAUUUUAGUGGAGCCCACAGGUUGAGAAGGCUUUCAAGACAAUCUCACCUGCCAUUGACUACCAACUUCUACUAGAGAAGAUGUUGGAGCAUAAACUUAGGAGACUCUGCUUUGACAUCUGUAAAAGCUCAGAUGAUUCCUCUCAAAAGAACAGAAAAGAUAACAUCACACAAAGCAGCUGUCAAUUCCCAAAUAUGUCUCUGCAGAUGUCCAGAACCAGCCCUCCAAAUGCCCACUGUCAUUUCCUUUUGUCCAAUAUUGGAUUGAUUACCAGACCAGUCCAUGACUGAGUUAUAAUAAACAGUCACAUUAAAGGAUAGAGGGGAGUCAUCAUAACAACUUCUCCAUUUGAUGAAUUUGUUGAAGGCAAGUUCCACAGUCUUUAUAUUCUCUGCCCCACAAGGUCUAAAAGCCUGAGGCAGCUCAUCCAGUCUGAGAUAUAGGCAUUCCCAUAUUAACGCUUUGCAUUACAGUUUUAGAGAUAUUCUUACUCCAAAUCUGAGGGUCCACAGAAAAGCAUCCAUAAUUUGUACUAUUUUCCAUCAUUUGUACUAUUUCUAGUAAAAACAAAUAGCUAGUCCCUGACUCAUAGCAGUGUAAUUCACCAAUCUGACAUACUUUUUACUCUCAGACCAAGGAAAUUCGAACAGCUGAGUAUUAUUAGAGGUCACAAGUACUUCUGGCCUUGACCAUACAGAAGGAUGUAGCAAAGGUGGAUCAGGAACAUAUGCCCAGUACAACUUCCCUGUCACCAUCAGCAGA
RNAcentral lists this long non-coding RNA (891 nucleotides) under Rattus norvegicus (Norway rat). Its description in RNAcentral is "long non-coding RNA NONRATT021338". The record is from RNAcentral. Lineage: Eukaryota; Metazoa; Chordata; Mammalia; Rodentia; Muridae.